Molecule: ribosomal RNA, 514 nt
Filed under: uncultured bacterium
Lineage: Bacteria
Description: partial 16S ribosomal RNA
Rfam family: Bacterial small subunit ribosomal RNA
Source: RNAcentral
GAUGAACGCUGGCGGCGUGCCUAAUACAUGCAAGUCGAGCGAACAGAUGAGAAGCUUGCUUCUCUGAUGUUAGCGGCGGACGGGUGAGUAACACGUGGGUAACCUACCUAUAAGACUGGGAUAACUCCGGGAAACCGGGGCUAAUACCGGAUAAUAUGUUGAACCGCACGGUUCUAUAGUGAAAGACGGUUCCGGCUGUCAAUGAUAGAUGGACACGCGCCGUAUUAGCUAGUUGGUAAGGUAACGGCUUACCAAGGCGACGAUACGUAGCCGACCUGAGAGGGUGAUCGGCCACACUGGAACUGAGACACGGUCCAGACUCCUACGGGAGGCAGCAGUAGGGAAUCUUCCGCAAUGGGCGAAAGCCUGACGGAGCAACGCCGCGUGAGUGAUGAAGGUCUUCGGAUCGUAAAACUCUGUUGUUAGGGAAGAACAAAUUUGUUAGUAACUGAACAAGUCUUGACGGUACCUAACCAGAAAGCCACGGCUAACUCCGUGCCAGCAGCCGCCGUAA